This 1346-nucleotide ribosomal RNA is filed under the name uncultured bacterium. RNAcentral's name for it is "partial 16S ribosomal RNA". It matches the Rfam family "Bacterial small subunit ribosomal RNA", at positions 28 to 1381 of the family's 1533-position model. The record is from RNAcentral.
GACGAACGCUGGCGGCGUGCUUAACACAUGCAAGUCGAACGGAAAGGCCCUGCUUUUGUGGGGUGCUCGAGUGGCGAACGGGUGAGUAACACGUGAGUAACCUGCCCUUGACUUUGGGAUAACUUCAGGAAACUGGGGCUAAUACCGGAUAGGAGCUCCUGCUGCAUGGUGGGGGUUGGAAAGUUUCGGCGGUUGGGGAUGGACUCGCGGCUUAUCAGCUUGUUGGUGGGGUAGUGGCUUACCAAGGCUUUGACGGGUAGCCGGCCUGAGAGGGUGACCGGCCACAUUGGGACUGAGAUACGGCCCAGACUCCUACGGGAGGCAGCAGUGGGGAAUAUUGCACAAUGGGCGGAAGCCUGAUGCAGCAACGCCGCGUGCGGGAUGACGGCCUUCGGGUUGUAAACCGCUUUCGCCUGUGACGAAGCGUGAGUGACGGUAAUGGGUAAAGAAGCACCGGCUAACUACGUGCCAGCAGCCGCGGUGAUACGUAGGGUGCGAGCGUUGUCCAGAUUUAUUGGGCGUAAAGGGCUCGUAGGUGGUUGAUCGCGUCGGAAGUGUAAUCUUGGGGCUUAACCCUGAGCGUGCUUUCGAUACGGGUUGACUUGAGGAAGGUAGGGGAGAAUGGAAUUCCUGGUGGAGCGGUGGAAUGCGCAGAUAUCAGGAGGAACACCAGUGGCGAAGGCGGUUCUCUGGGCCUUUCCUGACGCUGAGGAGCGAAAGCGUGGGGAGCGAACAGGCCUAGAUACCCUGGUAGUCCACGCUGUAAACGGUGGGUACUAGGUGUGGGGUCCAUUCCACGGGUUCCGUGCCGUAGCUAACGCUUUAAGUACCCCGCCUGGGGAGUACGGCCGCAAGGCUAAAACUCAAAGGAAUUGACGGGGCCCCGCACAAGCGGCGGAGCAUGCGGAUUAAUUCGAUGCAACGCGUAGAACCUUACCUGGGUUUGACAUGGAUCGGGAGUGCUCAGAGAUGGGUGUGCCUCUUUUGGGGUCGGUUCACAGGUGGUGCAUGGCUGUCGUCAGCUCGUGUCGCGAGAUGUUGGGUUAAGUCCCGCAACGAGCGCAACCCUUGUUCACUGUUGCCAGCACGUUAUGGUGGGGACUCAGUGGAGACCGCCGGGGUCAACUCGGAGGAAGGUGGGGAUGACGUCAAGUCAUCAUGCCCCUUAUGUCCAGGGCUUCACGCAUGCUACAAUGGCUGGUACAGAGAGUGGCGAGCCUGUGAGGGUGAGCGAAUCUCGGAAAGCCGGUCUCAGUUCGGAUUGGGGUCUGCAACUCGACCUCAUGAAGUCGGAAUCGCUAGUAAUCGCAGAUCAGCAACGCUGCGGUGAAUACGUUCCCGGGGCU